GUGGGGAAUUUUGGACAAUGGGCGCAAGCCUGAUCCAGCAAUGCCGCGUGCAGGAUGAAGGCCUUCGGGUUGUAAACUGCUUUUGUACGGAACGAAAAAGCUCUGGUUAAUACCUGGGGCUCAUGACGGUACCGUAAGAAUAAGCACCGGCUAACUACGUGCCAGCAGCCGCGGUAAUACGUAGGGUGCGAGCGUUAAUCGGAAUUACUGGGCGUAAAGCGUGCGCAGGCGGGGAUGUAAGACAGUUGUGAAAUCCCCGGGCUCAACCUGGGAACUGCAUUUGUGACUGUAUAGCUAGAGUACGGCAGAGGGGGAUGGAAUUCCGCGUGUAGCAGUGAAAUGCGUAGAUAUGCGGAGGAACACCGAUGGCGAAGGCAAUCCCCUGGGCCUGUACUGACGCUCAUGCACGAAAGCGUGGGGAGCAAACAGGAUUAGAAACCCUAGUAGUCC
RNAcentral lists this ribosomal RNA (450 nucleotides) under uncultured bacterium. Its description in RNAcentral is "partial 16S ribosomal RNA". It matches the Rfam family "Bacterial small subunit ribosomal RNA", at positions 354 to 796 of the family's 1533-position model. The record is from RNAcentral.